GGUCGUAUGGUGUAAUGGAAUAAGCAUAGUUGUCUGCGUAACUUCAGAUCCCGGUUCGAUUCCGGGUACGGCCGCCA
Molecule: transfer RNA, 77 nt
Filed under: uncultured marine group II/III euryarchaeote KM3_98_F04
Lineage: Archaea; Methanobacteriati; Methanobacteriota
Description: tRNA-Arg
Rfam family: tRNA
About the family: Transfer RNA (tRNA) molecules are approximately 80 nucleotides in length. Their secondary structure includes four short double-helical elements and three loops (D, anti-codon, and T loops).
Source: RNAcentral